RNAcentral lists this transfer RNA (65 nucleotides) under Pycanum ochraceum. RNAcentral's name for it is "tRNA-Cys". The record is from RNAcentral. Lineage: Eukaryota; Metazoa; Arthropoda; Insecta; Hemiptera; Tessaratomidae.
GGCUUUGUAGUCAAAUUUAUGAUUUUAAAUUGCAAGUUUAAAGUUAAGGUAAUCCUUUAAAGCUU